UACGGAGGAUGCGAGCGUUAUCCGGAUUUAUUGGGUUUAAAGGGUGCGUAGGCGGGCUGUUAAGUCAGCGGUCAAAUGUCGGGGCUCAACCCCGGCCUGCCGUUGAAACUGGCGGCCUCGAGUGGGCGAGAAGUAUGCGGAAUGCGUGGUGUAGCGGUGAAAUGCAUAGAUAUCACGCAGAACUCCGAUUGCGAAGGCAGCAUACCGGCGCCCGACUGACGCUGAAGCACGAAAGCGUGGGUAUCGAACAGG
RNAcentral lists this ribosomal RNA (252 nucleotides) under uncultured bacterium. RNAcentral describes it as "partial 16S ribosomal RNA". It matches the Rfam family "Bacterial small subunit ribosomal RNA", at positions 524 to 776 of the family's 1533-position model. The record is from RNAcentral.